GAUGAAUGCUGGCGGCGUGCCUAAUACAUGCAAGUCGAGCGAACAGAUAAGGAGCUUGCUCCUUUGACGUUAGCGGCGGACGGGUGAGUAACACGUGGGUAACCUACCUAUAAGACUGGGAUAAAUUCGGGAAACCGGAGCUAAUACCGGAUAACUUUUGGAGCCUCAUGGUUCUCAAGUGAGAGAUGGUUUUGCUAUCACUUAUAGAUGGACCGGCGCCGUAUUAGCUAGUUGGUAAGGUAACGGCUUACCAAGGCGACGAUACGUAGCCGACGUGAGAGGGGGAUAAGCCACCCUGGAACUGAGACACGGUCCAGACUAAUAUGGGAGGCAGCGGUGGGGAAUGUACCGCAAGGGGCGAGAGCCUGACGGGGAACCGCCGAGUGAGUGAUGAAGGGUUUGGGCUCGUAAAACUCUGUUAUUAGGGAAGAACAAAAGUGUAAGUAACUUGUCACGUAUUGACGGUACCUAAUGAGAAAGCCCCGGCUAACUACGUG
RNAcentral lists this ribosomal RNA (497 nucleotides) under uncultured bacterium. Its description in RNAcentral is "partial 16S ribosomal RNA". It matches the Rfam family "Bacterial small subunit ribosomal RNA", at positions 28 to 507 of the family's 1533-position model. The record is from RNAcentral.